Molecule: long non-coding RNA, 4221 nt
Filed under: Citrus x clementina
Lineage: Eukaryota; Viridiplantae; Streptophyta; Magnoliopsida; Sapindales; Rutaceae
Description: Citrus clementina (C. clementina) long non-coding RNA (CCLE_LNC002531)
Source: RNAcentral
UUUGUUUUUAUCAUUGUUUGACUGCAAAAGAAAUAUUCAAGUUAAUCAGCAUAGUUUAUAUUUAUGUUGUUGCAGCAACAAAUGAAAUAAAUAUAAUUUCUAACAUAAUAAAAUAAAAAAAAUCAAAAAUUUAAGACAUCUUUGGUAUUAUUUCUGAAUUUGUAUUUUUUAAGAAUAAAAAUAAAAAUGAAAAAUAUAUUUUACAGUAUUUCGAAUUUGAAUAUAUUUUUUAUAUCAUGUAUUUUAAAAAUAAAAAAAAUAAUUUACAUUCGGUAGACACAAUUAAAAAUAAUAAAAAGAGAGAAUAUACAUUCGGUAAGACUGAACUGCUUGUUCAAAAGAAGGGGCUGCAGUAAGAAAAACACAUCAUGUACUAAUUAUAAAACAUGUAGAACUACUGUAUUUUACCAGUCACAAAACCUUUUUUUCUUAAGAGGUAAUGUCCCAUGGCAACUAUAAAUAUGGGAAAAAAAUUACCACAAAGUAUAACAACCCCAUCUUUUUCUCCAAACAAAUACAACCAUUUUAGUUCAUAUCUAAGCUAAGAACCAUUCUACUUUCAGGUUUCGACCAACGAAAUAACCAUAGUAUAAAAAUAAUUAUACUCUAAUCCAAACAUGGCUUCAGAAUUUACGAUUCAUACCAGACUCAAUUGGCCAAACCUAUGGAAUUGGAAUGAUGCAUUUAUUUAACUCAAAAGGUAAAUAUUAGGCUUAAGGUUCUUACAUAUUAAAACAAUAAUAAUUCAUUCAUUUUGAACAUGAGAUGCAACUUGGACUAUUUCAAGUUAUUCCAAAAGAAAGCAUUAAAAGGAAUUUGUUCAUCCUACGUGGUAUAAGUAGCAUACUUCAGUUAGUAUUAUACAUCAUCAGUUAAAUCAUUUGGACUAUUAACAUUGAUAACAACAAUAAUAAAAUAAACAUAUGUAGUUAUAAAAUAAAUAGAUAAAUUCAACUUCGGAUAAAUUUGGGUUGUUACAGUAACCCUCCAAGCCACCACUGUAUUAUAACCAAUAGACAUUUGAAUUAUAACAGAUAGAAAAGAAUAAAAUAAAAUAAAAUGAGUUAAAAAAGCUGAUAUAAUGAACCUUGCGGUCAAAUGUUAGAUCUGACUACUUCGAACGAACUAAAGGCCAACAAUGAAAAUUUCACAUAAAAGCAACCAGAAUACCAGCAAAAUAGCUUAAAUUAAAAGUUUUCUGACUUGUUCAGGAGAGACAUCAACAAUUUUCAAAACUUUUUACUGGACCUCACCUUUAUAAAUUAUCAAAACUUCUGCCACCAAUCUGACAACAUCACAGAAAAACAAGCAACACCAUAUUUAAUUAAGUUAUAAAAAAGCUUCAAGAUUUGCAUAUUCUGGGAUAUAAUAAGAAACCAAUCAUAGAACAUGUCAUAAGCAAGGGCUCAAGCAGAGGAAAGAUCUUGAAUACCUCAAUGUGAUGAUAAUCAUCAUGAAACAAUAUCAAUAGAUGUGAUCUAGGGACAUAUCUCACAUAAAAACCUUCAAACAAUAUUAAUAUAAGCGAUAGAUCAUAUAAAAUAAAUAACUUCAUAACAAAAGAGUUUACAUUAGGGGUUAGAAAAAAAAAAAAAGGUACUAGGCUAAAGCCUAACCUCUGGUUACCGCACUUUCAUUUGUGUGUAAAGUCUCCCAAAUUCUUUAGUCAUGGCGUAAUAGAUUCUCUUAUAUAUAUAAUGAAUAAUGCUGUUAACAAAAGCCCCUAAACUUAGAAUUACUUCCACUUUUUUAUAUUCUUAAUUCUAAUAAGGCAAGAGUGAGUUUUGGUAUAUCUAAUGGGAUAUAGAAAGGUAUUUACCCCUAUUUUAUCUAGCAACUUCGAAACCUGGUAAGUCUCUCGCAAAACCUGAAUUUAGAUGGAUGGACUUCAAAUGAAAGGAUUUUCUAACAAAAGCUAAAACAUUGCAAUGGCAUAGUGAACAUAGGAAAAUGAAAAUAUAAAGCAAAAGAAAAAGUUCCCAUUGGAUAAGACAAAUACAAAAUGAUCCAAGUUCUUAUUGGCCAUGCCAAUAUUAUUCAUGCUGAAUUAAUCUAAUUUAUUUUUCAAUUAAGGUUAGUAACAAUUUAUCUGUAAAUAACUUAACCAACUUGGUUAUUACAACAUUACUUUUUCAAAGCGUUUUGAGCUCACAAUAUCAAGACAACAAUUUGGUUGUUGGUUAAUUGAGUACCGGAAUAAGUGAUUUUUACCGCAAGAAUGCAAUUGUAAACACCACACAGUAAGUUUUCAAGGCAUCCCAGUAUAUUAACUCAAAAAAUCAAAUUCUCAUUCCCUGUCUAACCCACCAAUUUUCUGCAUAGGCAAUGGAAAUCAGAAUACUUUAUAAUGCAUUCAGUAAUUGAAGUACCUCUGAUUAUUGUUUCCAACAGAAUAGGGUAAAUCAUGUUGGCAAGAAUUCUUGAAAGUUUAUCUAAAUAACUAUCACUUGCUUCUCACAAAACAAACAUCAAGCAUGGCCUGUUGGAACAUUUAUCCUUUUUGGUUUAAGGGUGUUGGGUUAGUUGACUCAAUUUUCCCUUUUUUGGUCACACAACAUCAAUAAAUUGAGCAUCUUGCCAAGGCAGAGAUAAAAAUAAAUAUGAUGAACCCAGCUGGAAGUAUCUAGCAUUCCCCAGUCAACUGAGCCAUUAGAAACUUCAGAAUCCACAACCUAUGUGAUAAGCAUAUGAAUUUAUGUAUCCAUAAGAUAAUCCCAAUAUAUAUACGAGAGAUAAGCAAUAUUACUUCAAAAUAGUCCUCGUCAAGAGGUAUAUCGUCACUGGUGACAAAAUCUGAAUAAUUGUAUACAGCACCAGUAGCAAAGUUCAUGUUAAUAGCAGAACAAGCAACAUCCUGAUUGGAUAGAAACACAUUCAUGGUAGUGAGUAAACAAAUGAGGUUGGGUUGAAGCAAGAGUUGUUUAUAAAAGGACUUUGAAUACUGUGUUACCAAAAGCUAUUAAUGAGGUUAUGAUAGCUUUAAAAGCUCAAAUAAGGCAGUUGUAGAACAGUCUAUGAUGUGACUGUCCUCAUUCAACAAAUUAGCCGAGAAAGAUGAGUUACACGGAAGGUCCAAUGGUUAAGGAUGUGACUUUGCAUGGGUGCUAAAACCAAGAUUUAUUAAGCUUAAAGAUCUGUCUCUAUCACCUAAGCUCCUCUGUAACAAAAUAAAUUAAGCCUAGAGAUCGAUCUUAAUCAGUUAAAGAUGAUCUGCACAGCUGCAGAACAUUUAAGAUACACUGCAACCAUUUUUACUAAUAGUAAAGGAAGUGUCUGUCCAAAAGCACAUAGAAGAGAAGCAUGGCAUUGAUAUGCAGUAUAAAGCUCCACCCCAUCUUAUCUUAUAAUACUACGGAAACAUAAUAAUUGCCAAAAGCGAUUGAACUGCACAGCAGAUUAGUUACACCCCUUAGUUUAUCUUAAACAACAACAUCAAUAUCUGUCAUAACUCUCACUAAUAUUCAUUCUUUUCACAAAUACAAUCACCCAAAAAUCACUCAGCCCAGCAGUUGCAAGUCCUUUGCUAAGAUCAAUCAUUAAUCAGAUAUAAACUUUUAAGAAAAUAUAAAACCUCAACGACAAUGACAACUUACCAGUCGCCUCAUCAUAUGCCUGGACAGCGGGCCCUGGCACCACAAGGCAGUCCCUCACUGCAUCUUAUAAUAGGUAUUCUGCUCAAUCACAAGCUUGCCACUAAAAUCCCCUUUCAUCCAGCUUAGAAGCCACAUGAUCAGUAUCUCCGAGCCUUACUAGAAUAGAAAGAGUGAGAAAAGUAAGGGGGUAGAAAAAAAUGGCUGAAACCCUCAGCUACUUGCUUGCAAAUAUUAGGGCCAGAUCUUACCAGAUCUAAAAUGAUUUUCCAGAUUGCUUACCUCUCGCGAUGCGCACCAAACCGAUCUGCAAAGUUUUGGAGUUGGAAGACAGUUUCAGGGUUAAAACUAGCGGAUGCUUUGGUGCUCUUCUUGGUUUCUUCCACAGCCUUACCAUCACCAGAAUCUGAACGACAAUCUGCAUCUCAUCUCUUCAACAAUCUGCAUUCCCAACUAUUUGGAUUGUGAUCGACGGUUUCACGGUUCACGUGCCAGCGGAUUCGGGUUCGGAUUUGGUGAAUCUUGGCUUAAAAUUUAGGAGAUUUGAGACAGAAAUUCACAUUUGGGAAUGAACAUUAAGGGCGGACAGGGCGGUGCUUUUUAUUUUGAUUUUUUUUCUUCUACAGUGACG